UUUGGCUGGUGGACAUCUCGUCCAAACGCCAGCCCGAAGUCCAACUAAAAUUCUUUGUUUGUGAAGUCUGAGUCGAUAUUCAAUAACUAAAACUUUCAACAACGGGAUCUCUUGGUUCUGGCAUCGAUGAAGAACGCAGCGAAAUGCGAUAAGUAAUGUGAAUUGCAGAAUUCCGUGAAUCAUCGAAUCUUUGAACGCACAUUGCGCCCUUUGGUAAUCCGAAGGGCAUGCCUGUUCGAGCGUCAUUGCAACCCCUCAAGCAUUGCUUGGUAUUGGUUAUCGUCCCCGGGACGAGGCCGAAAAUCUGUGGCGGUCCAGCGAGACUUCAAGCGAUCAAGAUUUUUCAUCACGCUUUGCAAGCACCUCAUUGAUCCGGCCAGCUAAAACAUUUCUACGAUUGACCUCGGAUCAGGUAGGGAUACCCGCUGAACUUAAGCAUAUCAAUAAGCGGAGGAAAAGAAACCAACAGGGAUUGCCUUAGUAACGGCGAGUGAAGCGGCAACAGCUCAAAUUUGAAAUCUGGCCUCGUCGAGGUCCGAGUUGUAAUUUGGAGAGGGUGUUUCGAAUAAGACGCCGGCCUAAGUUCCUUGGAACAGGACGUCAUAGAGGGUGAGAAUCCCGUAUGCGGCCGGUGAUCGAUUUCAUGUGAAACCCCUUCGACGAGUCGAGUUGUUUGGGAAUGCAGCUCAAAAUGGGUGGUAUAUUUCAUCUAAAGCUAAAUACCGGCCAGAGACCGAUAGCGCACAAGUAGAGUGAUCGAAAGAUGAAAAGCACUUUGGAAAGAGAGUUAAAAAGUACGUGAAAUUGUUGAAAGGGAAGCGCUUGCAACCAGACUCGUCUCCGGGUGUUCAGCCCUCGUUCUCGAGGGUGCACUCUCCCGGUUACGGGCCAGCAUCGGUUC
This 901-nucleotide ribosomal RNA is filed under the name Heterodermia speciosa. RNAcentral describes it as "eukaryotic LSU rRNA". The stretch from base 399 to 901 matches the Rfam family "Eukaryotic large subunit ribosomal RNA", at positions 1 to 508 of the family's 3401-position model. Lineage: Eukaryota; Fungi; Ascomycota; Lecanoromycetes; Caliciales; Physciaceae. The record is from RNAcentral.